ACGAUAAAAUCCCAGUGCUACAGUAAGACAUGUAAAUACUGAACCUGAAAGAAAACACAAGAGUUAGUGUGAAAAUGAGAAAAGCUCCAGGAAGUUGAUGCUGAGCUGGGAUUCCUGGGAAGAUCACUUGCCAUGACUCAUGUCCAAUCUAAGCUCUCCUUCCCAAAAGUUGGUGUUGGUUGCCAUGAACACUACUGGUGCAUCUGCCAAAGCUGUGUCCUUGUUAUCACUACUGAAGGGACUGGACAUCUGAAGGGACUAUCAACACAUGGUACAUAUCCUGAACCAGGUACCUCCACACCUGAUUGGGAAGUUCUGAAGGAGAUGAAAGUUAGAGUACUCAAGGAACUGGAUGAUUUGGUGAACAUGGCAAGCUCAUAUGAUUGCACCUUUGCUAGCAGCUUAUCCAGAAAGUGGUAGAACUGGAUGUCCUCUUAUCUCAGAAUAGCCGAAAAAUCAUUA
This is a long non-coding RNA of Mauremys reevesii (Reeves's turtle), 462 nucleotides long. RefSeq lists it as uncharacterized. Lineage: Eukaryota; Metazoa; Chordata; Testudines; Geoemydidae. The transcript is spliced from 3 exons. The record is from RefSeq and is a predicted model, not a curated record.